GACCCUGUCCUCUGCUCCCGGAGGAGGCCUGCCUCCCAACCUUGAAAGGCGAGCGCGGGAGCCCGGCUGGUGGGAAGGUCCAACACAGUCCCGCCCCUCCUCGGCCUUCCUCAGCUGUCCCCGCCCCCCCCCCCCCCAGACACUACCGCCACCCCGCCUGGGUCAAGAUCUCCUCUCGGCCUACCCCAGCCCUCUUGGGUGAGGCGCCCCCUCCCCAGGCUCGCCUUUCCCCGCCUCAGCGCCUCCCUAAUCCUGUUCUGCCCUGCCAACCUCAACUUGGGGCUGGCCGGCCUCGGGGCCCCCAAGCUGGCAUUCCAGGGCGGGUGCGUCCGGGUGCGACCGGGGACGGCGUGGGAGCGGUUUGCGUUCCAAGUCCGAGCCUUUAUCAGCAGGCGACCUGGGCCCAGGCACUUUUUGAAAAUACUAACAACUACUACCGACUGGACUCUCGCCAGGGGCCGGGCUCUAUGCCAAGCCCUGUUAAAAGGACUGGCCCUUAAAUUCUCACAACCCUCUGCGAUGGUAGCUUGUUGCUCCAUUUUACCGACGGACGACCUGAGGUUUAGAGAAAGGAAGUCGUGGCCUCCGAGUCUCACGCUGGAGGUGAGCAGGAUCCGGCUGCAAGCCCUGAAUCACAAGCCUGAUACUGCCCCAGCUUGCCUGGACUGGCCCCUGGAGAAGUGGCCUUGGCCAGCCAGCUGUUGGGGCUGUGUUCAGCAGGCUGCCUGAGGUGAGGGAGGAGGCGUGGGUUGAUGAGGCGGGUAGCAGGAGGGGCUGCUGGCCUGAGCCCCAGAAGCUGGUUUUCUCCCUUAAGAAGUGACUCAGAAUUAAGAAGGGCUGCAAAGAUCUCCAGAUGGCUGUGGUGCCCUGACCUGCAUCCCAGCCCUCUGCACUCCCAGACCCCAGGGGCCAGCCUCGGGCAGGUUUCCUACUUAUGACCGGGACCAUUCACCUGGCAGCUGACAAAGCUCUUUAACUCCCAUUAUCUCAUUGGCAUCUCACAAGGACGCCAUUAUGGGGAAGGUAUGAUUAUGCCGGGUUUUGCAUGGGUGGAGUUAGGGUGGGGAGCUGGAUCCCAGCCCAGCACGGUGGUUCCCAAAGCAUGGUCCUUAGACCUCCAGCAAUAGCAGUGGUGUCUGGGAAUUUGUUAGCCAUGCGUGUUUGGGAGCCCCAUCCCAGGCCUACUGAAUGAGAAACUCUGGGAGAGGAGCCUAGCAGUUUGUUUUAACAAGGCCUCCAGGUGAUUUUGAAUCACAAGCAAGUUGGAGAAUCACCGUUGGGCACACUGGUGAAGAAAUUAGGGUGCUCUGAGAGUCACAAAGGCCUGGUAGCGUCCUGGGAGCCUUGCGACCCAAGGCAAGGUAAGGUCCUGAACUCUGGGAGAAACGUGUACAAGGGGAAUAGUGAUAAUAAUACCAGUCUUGAGGGUGGCUGCUGGGGAUUAAACGUGCUGGCGUUCACGAAAUGUUUGCCCACUCUUGGACACCGUGCAUGCUCAGUAAAUGUUCUCUUUCCAGUAAAAAGUCUCCUUUAUAGAAUCUCCACACCAAGUCAAGGGAUUGGGGCGAAAGAAUCUUUAGGGCCAACAGGGUCCCACUUUGUUGUCUUUGCCACAAAGGGACACCAUCAUUCCUGCGAGGGGCCAACAGCUUAACAGGUUCCCAGAUGAUGUCGACACAGCUGGUCCAGGGCUCACAUCUUCAGAACCACUGUGCUUUUCUGUCUUGGACUGGGCUCCUGGCCAACCCUUGAAAAUGGGCGUAAAACAUCCUCCUCUUCCACCCUGUUCCCCGUCCCCUCCCCUCAAGCUGGGGGUGUUUGUGAUGGUGAUUGGCAGUUGGCAAAACAGCUGGGAUCACAUCAGCCCCUCCCUCGCCUCCAGACAGACGUUCAAUCACCGGAGGCCCAUCUGCUACCCCUUUGGGUCUGUCACUCCAGAUUAGAGACAGGGGCAGCUGUGGCAACAUGGAGGCAGGCAGAUUUUCGAAUCUCUGCCAUACCCCCUACCCCCCUCUGCAGCCCCAUAGAUGAGGGCCUUCCUAUAGGAGCUCAGAGCCUAUUUGUCCUGUUAAGUGCCCUAAAUGCUAAAAAAUGCUUGAAUUAAAUGCUAAAGUAAAUGUUUUGUUAAAUGCUAAAAAUAUCAACAUGUUAAUGCUAAAAAUCGAGACCCACCUAGCUUACAUCUAAACAUGUAACAGACUAUAAAAUAAAAUAUGUUUAUUCUCCUACCUUGAGAACUAUUCUUCAUACUGACCAAGAAGGCCACGUUCAAGUUUAGAAUUCUUGGACUCCUUAGAAUUCUCUGCAGGAACAUGGCAGCGUGGGGCGGGUUUGGUCCUGACCCCUCAACCCUCAGCCCAAUCACUCGGAUUCUCUUCCCGGCCCCAUGUCUGUCCUGUGCACACAAGUAGCCUAGGACCCAGGGAUGUAAACACCUCAGCCCACAUGCCCAAAUUCAGCCACCACUUAGUCGCCCCUCCAGGAGUGCACAUGGGGGCAAGUUGUACCCUCAGAAGGAUGGGCCUUGGGAAGUGUUGGACCAUUUAGGCAGAGAUUUCUAGGGUUUUUAGAUACCUGAAGCAUGAUUUUGAAAGGCUGCGGGGUAUAGGUUUUGAGUAGACACGGGUGGCCCUGUUGCCUGGGUCUGUGAGUGGCCCUGCUGUUUGUCCUUGCCUCCGUAGCACUUAGCACGCUGCCUGGUACAUAUUAGAAGCGUAAGGAAUAGUCAUUAAGGAGAGGUGUGUCUGAAUUAUUGACUAAAAUAUCAAAUUGGCUUGGUUCUUCCCGUGUUUUUCCUCUCUUCCGGCAAGAGUCAGACUUUGUCAUGAUUUACCCUGGGCAUCUUGCAAAGGCAGCCUCUAGGGAGAGACGACUUCCUUCUUUUGUGAAAUUCUUCGGUCCAUUCCAGAGGUGAAGCCACGAGUUUGGGAGGUGGGAACAGGGGCAGGAAGAACUACUCUAGAAAGACAAGAGGAGGUAUCAAAUGGCCAACGUGGAGGUAGAUGGUGGCUUGGCAAGACCUUCAAAGGGUAUGUCUAUGGGGUUCCCAGCCUCUCAGAAGAUUCCCCCACCCCAGAGUUGGCACAGGAGCUUCAGAGGAGGAGGCCUGAAGGUCCUCGUGGUCAUUUAUUUAGCCCCCAAAUCUGCGAUUUGGGGUGGGUUCACUGGAGGGAAGGCUUGUCUCUGUUCUGUGCACUAUCAGCUGGUUCAGUUGGAAGUGGAGGACCCUUAACAAGAUGGCGCACUCACAUGGCUAGCCAGUUGGUGCUAGGUGCUAGCUGGAAACUCAGCUGGAGCUGUGGACCAAGGCCUCAGUUCCUCUCCAUGAGGCCCCUCUGCAGGCUGCUGGGGCUUCCUCACUGCAAGACAGCUGGGUUUCAAGCGCAAACAGAGAACAAGGUAGAAGCACGUGGCAUUUUAUGACCUAGCCUCGGAAGUCGUGUAGCAUCACUUCCUUUGUAUUCUAUCAGUGCACAAAGACACCAUGGUUCAAGGGAAUGAGAGACAUAGCCUCCCUCUGUCGAUGAGGGGGUGGCAAAGUUCUAGAAGAGAUUGCAGAACGGAAGAUACCGUCACAGCCAUCUUUGGAAAAUGCAACCUGCCCCAAGUGGGUCCUCAGAACAAGUGGAGAAAAAUUUCCUCUGCUGGGAACUGAGUGUCUGACUUAGCCGAUUUAAAAGGAAAAGGUAUAUGAUGUUCCUUGCACAGCCCUCCGUGCAAUCUGUGCACAAGAAUGAGACUAGGAAGUCCGGUGGACAAGGAGUCUGGUGCCCUUGGGUUAUUUAGGAUUUUCCUUCUUCAGAGAGUCCUCAGAAUAGAGUUAAGACCUCUCUCCUCACCACCUCUACUGUUUCUUUGAAGCUGUACGUUUCAAUACUACUCAUUUGAUCCGCUUCAUAAUGACCCCUAUGAGCUACAUACUAUCUAUUGUGAUGCCCAUUUCCAAGAUGUGCAAAUGGAGGCCCUGAGAAGGCAGCAGCUCAACCCUGUGGCAGGGGCCGGACACCCCAAACAGUCAUGGGUCCACACCCCAACAUCUGUUACUCUAUUUAUUUAUCGUCGAGACAUAUGUACUAUUUUGCUAGCCAAGCUGCAUCGUUUGAACGAGGCACAAAAACAAAAUUUAUAAAUAGGAGGCAAAAAUUGUGUAAAACUUUCAAUGUAUGCAAAAAUGAAAAUAAUUAUAAAGCA
Herpailurus yagouaroundi (jaguarundi) is the source of this 4191-nucleotide long non-coding RNA. RefSeq lists it as uncharacterized. The record is from RefSeq and is a predicted model, not a curated record. NCBI's taxonomy places the organism in Eukaryota, Metazoa, Chordata, Mammalia, Carnivora, Felidae. The transcript is spliced from 2 exons.